RNAcentral lists this ribosomal RNA (433 nucleotides) under uncultured bacterium. Its description in RNAcentral is "partial 16S ribosomal RNA". It matches the Rfam family "Bacterial small subunit ribosomal RNA", at positions 29 to 507 of the family's 1533-position model. The record is from RNAcentral.
AACGAACGCUGGCGGCAUGCCUAACACAUGCAAGUCGAACGAAGGCUUCGGCCUUAGUGGCGCACGGGUGCGUAACGCGUGGGAAUCUGCCCUUAGGUUCGGAAUAACAGUUAGAAAUGACUGCUAAUACCGGAUGAUGACGUAAGUCCAAAGAUUUAUCGCCUGAGGAUGAGCCCGCGUAGGAUUAGCUAGUUGGUGUGGUAAAGGCGCACCAAGGCGACGAUCCUUAGCUGGUCUGAGAGGAUGAUCAGCCACACUGGGACUGAGACGCGGCCCAGGCUCCUACGGGAGGCAGCAGUGGGGAAUAUUGGACAAUGGGCGCAAGCCUGAUCCAGCAAUGCCGCGUGAGUGAUGAAGGCCUUAGGGUUGUAAAGCUCUUUUACCCGUGAUGAUAAUGACAGUAGCGGGAGAAUAAGCCCCGGCUAACUCCGUG